AGGGUUUGAUUAUGGCUCAGGAUGAACGCUGGCGGCGUGCUUAACACAUGCAAGUCGAACGAACCUUCGGGUUAGUGGCGGACGGGUGAGUAACGCGUGAGAAUCUGCCCUCAGGAGGGGGAUAACGGUUGGAAACGACCGCUAAUACCCCAUAUGCCUACUGGUGAAAUGAAUUUCGCCUGAGGAUGAGCUCGCGUCUGAUUAGCUAGUUGGUGGGGUAAUGGCUUACCAAGGCUUCGAUCAGUAGCUGGUCUGAGAGGAUGAUCAGCCACACUGGGACUGAGACACGGCCCAGACUCCUACGGGAGGCAGCAGUGGGGAAUUUUCCGCAAUGGGCGAAAGCCUGACGGAGCAACGCCGCGUGAGGGACGAAGGCCUCUGGGCUGUAAACCUCUUUUCUCAAGGAAGAAGAUAUGACGGUACUUGAGGAAUAAGCCACGGCUAAUUCCGUGCCAGCAGCCGCGGUAAUU
Molecule: ribosomal RNA, 470 nt
Filed under: uncultured bacterium
Lineage: Bacteria
Description: bacterial SSU rRNA
Rfam family: Bacterial small subunit ribosomal RNA
Source: RNAcentral